GAAUCCGCUAAGGAGUGUGUAACAACUCACCUGCCGAAUGAAUUAGCCCUGAAAAUGGAUGGCGCUGAAGCGGGUAGCCGACACCACGCCGUCUGGACAAAGUGGUCUUUCAGAUGAGUAGGAGGGCGUGGCGGUUGUAUCGAAGCGUGGAUGCGAAUCUGCGUGGAACAGCCGCUAGUGCAGAUCUUGGUGGUAGUAGCAAAUAUUCAAGCGAGAUCCUUGAAGGGCGAAGCGGGGAAGGGUUCCACGCGAACAUUGAUUGGGCGUGGGUGAGUCGUUCCUAAGCCGCGUGGCAAUAGCUAAUUACCGGCGAAAGGGAAGCAGGUUGACAUUCCUGCACACGGAUGUGGAGACGGCGACGAUACAUGAGGCGAUCACGCUGGCGGUGGCGCUGGGCAGAGUUGUCUUUUCUGUUUGACCAUUGAAUACUUGCUGUGUGGAAUCCGCUUGUCGGGAGAAACACGCAGGUACGGGCAGAGCGCCGGGGCUUUUCCGGCGUCCAGCUCGCCACCGACGGCCCUUGAAAAAUUGCCUGCUGAACAACACUUGUGUUGUGAGAUCCACGCCGUGGCGUACCGAUAACCGCAUCAGGUCCCCAAGGUGAACAGCCUCUGCUCAGUAUGAACAAUGCAGGUAAGGGAAGUCGGCA
Molecule: ribosomal RNA, 649 nt
Filed under: Spyridia filamentosa
Lineage: Eukaryota; Rhodophyta; Florideophyceae; Ceramiales; Spyridiaceae
Description: eukaryotic LSU rRNA
Rfam family: Eukaryotic large subunit ribosomal RNA
Source: RNAcentral